RNAcentral lists this ribosomal RNA (484 nucleotides) under uncultured bacterium. RNAcentral describes it as "partial 16S ribosomal RNA". It matches the Rfam family "Bacterial small subunit ribosomal RNA", at positions 28 to 523 of the family's 1533-position model. The record is from RNAcentral.
GACGAACGCUGGCGGCGUGCUUAACACAUGCAAGUCGAACGAUGAAGCUAGAGCUUGCUCUGGUGGAUUAGUGGCGAACGGGUGAGUAACACGUGAGUAACCUGCCCCGAACUCUGGGAUAACUGCUGGAAACGGUAGCUAAUACCGGAUAUGACCAAUGAAGGCAUCUUCUGUUGGUGGAAAGAAUUUCGGUUCGGGAUGGACUCGCGGCCUAUCAGCUUGUUGGUGAGGUAACGGCUCACCAAGGCGACGACGGGUAGCCGGCCUGAGAGGGUGAGCGGCCACACUGGGACUGAGACACGGCCCAGACGCCUACGGGAGGCAGCAGGGGGGAAUAUUGCACAAUGGGCGCAAGCCUGAUGCAGCAACGCCGCGUGAGGGACGACGGCCUUCGGGUUGUAAACCUCUUUUAGUAGGGAAGAAGCGAAAGUGACGGUACCUGCAGAAAAAGCACCGGCUAACUACGUGCCAGCCGCCGCAGUAA